Molecule: ribosomal RNA, 440 nt
Filed under: uncultured bacterium
Lineage: Bacteria
Description: partial 16S ribosomal RNA
Rfam family: Bacterial small subunit ribosomal RNA
Source: RNAcentral
CCUACGGGAGGCAGCAGUGGGGAAUAUUGCACAAUGGGGGAAACCCUGAUGCAGCGACGCCGCGUGAAUGAUGAAGGAUUUCGGUGUGUAAAGCUCUAUCGGUAGGGAAGAAAAUGACGGUACCUGAUGAAUAAGCCCCGGCUAACUACGUGCCAGCAGCCGCGGUAAUACGUAGGGGGCAAGCGUUAUCCGGAUUUACUGGGUGUAAAGGGGGCGUAGGCGGGAUGACAAGUCAGGAGUGAAAUUUCGGGGCUUAACCACAGAACUGCAUUUGAAACUGUUAAGCUAGAGUGCAGGAGAGGUAAGUGGAAUUCUUAGUGUAGCGGUGAAAUGCGUAGAUAUCAGGAGGAACACUAGUUGCGAAGGCGGCUUACUGGACUGUAACUGACGCUGAGGCUCGAAAGCGUGGGGAGCAAACAGGAUUAGAUACCCGAGUAGUC